GGGACUCUGAGCCCCACGGAACCAUGCUCACGGUGCCAAGCAUGUGGUCGUGCGCCGAAUAGGCAAACAGGGUUCUAAUGGCCAUUCAGUCUCUUCUGUUUCAGCAUUAAGGUGAUAGGGGUGGGAAACAGCGAGUCUGUCCCUGGGAUAGAUGGAUGUAGAUACAGAGUUAUAGAGGGAUAGGGGUAUUUUACAAAGCAUAUAUAACACCGAGUCAUCCGCGUAAAUCCCCUUUGAACUCAGGAAAGGAAGAGACAGCAAGGAUGCAAGAACACAGAGAAGAGGCCAUGUGAAGACACAGCAAGAAGGGGGCCAUCGGCGAACCAACAGGCCUUAGAGGAAAAAUAACCUUCUGACACAAUGGUCUUGAACUUCCAGCCCCUAGAACUAAUCGUGCUCACUUCUAUUCUGCCAUCCUCCUGGAAUCAGGAAUAAUGGGAUGGGGCAGCAGAGAAGAUAAAGAACAGCCCACAACCAGCAGGUUCUCUGUGCCCUGCCAACGUACGUGGCCACUAUGGGCUUGAAAGUAAUAGCUGUGCUCAUUAGGCAUUACUUGGGGCUUCAUUUUGCAAACGGUGCUCAGCGGAGCCCUGUUUAGCAACAUGUUAAUAGCAUUUCCGGAAAUAAAUAA
Molecule: long non-coding RNA, 631 nt
Organism: Felis catus (domestic cat)
Lineage: Eukaryota; Metazoa; Chordata; Mammalia; Carnivora; Felidae
Exons: 3
Source: RefSeq, a predicted model, not a curated record